RNAcentral lists this transfer RNA (75 nucleotides) under Rhodopseudomonas faecalis. It matches the Rfam family "tRNA". From Rfam's summary of the family: Transfer RNA (tRNA) molecules are approximately 80 nucleotides in length. The record is from Rfam by way of RNAcentral. RNAcentral also lists the same sequence under 1 other name. Lineage: Bacteria; Pseudomonadati; Pseudomonadota; Alphaproteobacteria; Hyphomicrobiales; Nitrobacteraceae.
CGGAGCGUAGCGCAGCCCGGUUAGCGCACUAGUCUGGGAGACUAGGGGUCGGAGGUUCGAAUCCUCUCGCUCCGA